AGUUUGGUUGAGGGCCGAGGAGUGACGUGUCGGUUUGCGGACCCACGGGGAGUCGCAGUGGGAAGGCGCGGCCCACUGACUCCCGUCAUGUGACAAGAAGCGGAAACUACGCCGAAAUAGGCCCUUGCUCCAAGUCCCAGUAACUCGGAAUGCGGAGCCGCUCGUCUCCGUCUUUUUUAAGAGUGCACUGGUACCAUCAUAGUUCACUACUGCUUCAUACUCCUGGACUCAAGCAAUCCUCCCUCCUUGGUCUCCCAAAGUGCUGAGAUUACAGGUGUGAGCCACCUCCCCUGGCCAUAAAGACGGGAGUCUCGCUCUGUUGUCCAGGCUGGAGUACAGCGGCUCAAUCUCAGCUCACUGCAACCUCUGCCUCCCAGGUUCAAGCAAUUUUCCUGCCUCAGCCUCCCGAAUAGCCGGGAUUACAGGCACACACCACCACACCAG
Molecule: long non-coding RNA, 444 nt
Organism: Gorilla gorilla gorilla (western lowland gorilla)
Lineage: Eukaryota; Metazoa; Chordata; Mammalia; Primates; Hominidae
Exons: 3
Source: RefSeq, a predicted model, not a curated record